CGAGUGAAGGGGCCCUCUGGGUCCACCUCCCACCCGUGUCUAUCGUACCUUGUUGCUUCGGCGGGCCCGCCGUUUCGACGGCCGCCGGGGAGGCCUUGCGCCCCCGGGCCCGCGCCCGCCGAAGACCCCAACAUGAACGCUGUUCUGAAAGUAUGCAGUCUGAGUUGAUUAUCGUAAUCAGUUAAAACUUUCAACAACGGAUCUCUUGGUUCCGGCAUCGAUGAAGAACGCAGCGAAAUGCGAUAAGUAAUGUGAAUUGCAGAAUUCAGUGAAUCAUCGAGUCUUUGAACGCACAUUGCGCCCCCUGGUAUUCCGGGGGGCAUGCCUGUCCGAGCGUCAUUGCUGCCCUCAAGCACGGCUUGUGUGUUGGGCCCCCGUCCCCCUCUCCCGGGGGACGGGCCCGAAAGGCAGCGGCGGCACCGCGUCCGGUCCUCGAGCGUAUGGGGCUUUGUCACCUGCUCUGUAGGCCCGGCCGGCGCCAGCCGACACCCAACUUUAUUUUUCUAAGGUUGACCUCGGAUCAGGUAGGGAUACCCGCUGAACUUAAGCAUAUCAAUAAGCGGAGGAAA
Molecule: ribosomal RNA, 569 nt
Filed under: fungal endophyte sp. IJL02
Lineage: Eukaryota; Fungi
Description: eukaryotic LSU rRNA
Rfam family: 5.8S ribosomal RNA (bases 186-339)
Source: RNAcentral